AGAGUUUGAUCCUGGCUCAGAUUGAACGCUGGCGGAAUGCUUUACACAUGCAAGUCGAACGGCAGCAUAGAGAGCUUGCUCUCUGAUGGCGAGUGGCGAACGGGUGAGUAAUAUAUCGGAACGUGCCUAGUAAUGGGGAACAACUAAUCGAAAGAUUAGCUAAUACCGCAUACGACCUAUGGGUGAAAGCAGGGGAUCUUCGGACCUUGCGUUAUUAGAGCGGCCGAUAUCUGAUUAGCUUGUUGGUGGGGUAAUGGCCUACCAAGGCAACGAUCAGUAGCUGGUCUGAGAGGACGAUCAGCCACACUGGAACUGAGACACGGUCCAGACUCCUACGGGAGGCAGCAGUGGGGAAUUUUGGACAAUGGGGGAAACCCUGAUCCAGCCAUUCCGCGUGAGUGAAGAAGGCCUUCGGGUUGUAAAGCUCUUUCGCAAGAGAAGAAAUCUUAUUAUCUAAUAAAUAAUAAGGAUGACGGUAUCUUGACAAGAAGCACCGGCUAACUACGUGCCAGCAGCCGCGGUAAUACGUAGGGUGCAAGCGUUAAUCGGAAUUACUGGGCGUAAAGCGUACGCAGGCGGUCUUAUAAGUCAGAUGUGAAAUCCCCGAGCUCAACUUGGGAACUGCGUUUGAAACUGUAAGACUAGAGUGUGUCAGAGGGGGGUAGAAUUCCAUGUGUAGCAGUGAAAUG
This 689-nucleotide ribosomal RNA is filed under the name uncultured bacterium. RNAcentral's name for it is "bacterial SSU rRNA". It matches the Rfam family "Bacterial small subunit ribosomal RNA", at positions 8 to 688 of the family's 1533-position model. The record is from RNAcentral.